This is a long non-coding RNA of Cervus elaphus (red deer), 2001 nucleotides long. RefSeq lists it as uncharacterized. NCBI's taxonomy places the organism in Eukaryota, Metazoa, Chordata, Mammalia, Artiodactyla, Cervidae. The transcript is spliced from 3 exons. The record is from RefSeq and is a predicted model, not a curated record.
UCUGCCCGCUCCUCUUCUCCGCCUCUCCUGUCUCCCACCACUCUUCCUUUUAAGUACAAGACAUACUCUUCCAGGGAAAAGUCUCCAAUGCUGCUGGCUGAAGGGGAAAAGGCAAUCAACUGGUGAUGAUUUAGGGCCUGACUAGCCAGGAUGGGAGAAGACUCUCGCUUCUCUUUUCCUCGUCGCUGCGUCCUUUUCAGAUGCACUAGGGUGGCAGGAGGAGAGUAGGAAGAACUGAAACCCAGCUCCCCCCUCCUUCUAUGUCUGUGGUCUCAGGAUUAACGUGCCAUACGAUAAAUCUUAUCUUCAGAUUAAGAUCAUCUAAGAUUUCGGGAUCAAGCAAAAGAAGACAUCAAAUUCUAGCAACUUUAAUGAAGCCGUGCACCCUAGAAAUAUUUGAAAUGGUCUAUGGCUUGAGGCAAAGGAAGAAAACCGAAGUCAUGCCAGUGUCAAAAGUCAUGUUUCCCUUCAGAAUCAUGGAUCCUUAUCUGGAAAUAAAGAUCUAAUAAAUCAUGGAUCUAAAUCUGGAAACAGAUUCUUCAACUGAUUCUUAAACCACUUACCUUCAACAGGCAAACAACCAGAUGAAACCACUGAUGCCUCUCAUUUUAACCAGAUCUUCCAUUAUUGUUCUUUUUUUUCAUACACUGGUGCCAGUGAACAAGUAUUCCAGUUUUUCUGACCCCCUUUUGGAGACUUGGCAAACCCUUGUCAUUUUCCAAAUGGUGAAAAAAUGUCUUUGUCCUGGAAAACGUUAUGUGACUGGAAUAUUUUGGUUUCUGGGUACAGAUGGAGCACCUGAACUCACUGACACUCCUGGUUGGUCUUCUUCGCUCAGGACACUCCAUGCACUAGCAUGAGUCAUUGCUCUCAGCAUCAGCAGGAAUUGGGCUGUGCCCCCAGUUCCUAAAUGAGACUUUGCUGGUCCUGAUAGCAGCCUUUUCAAGAAAUUUUAACUAGAAAAGAGAUCAGAAGAGGAAACUCUUCUCUAUUACACUUAGUCCACUGACUUUCCAAAAAACAAAUUGUAAAGUAUGUGAUUGAACUUCAUGCAUAAGUUGUAGAUGUGCUCAAUAGAGAUAGAGAAGAAGAGAGAAAAACAACUUAACUGAGAGGUGUGCAUUCCUAGUUUUGUUAUAUCAUAGGUGUGUUUGACCAUGACACUAAAUAAAUCUUUUGAUCCGAGGUCCUACAUGGGGCAUUAUGGAUGCUGCUAAAAGAAACCCCAUCAGCUUUUACAGCUCAGCUGUCAUGUGAGGAAGUGAGGACAGAAAGCAAACAACAGUGUAAACUUUCCAUUGAAGAGGAAGGACUUCCUGUGGUUUGAAGCUCAAAGUCUUGUUAGUGUCUCUGCAAGUAGAAAUCUUCAAUACCCCAAAAUACCAUAAAAUUCUUUUGAACAUUACUUGUGCUUAGAUCACUUUAAAAUUAAAACAUGAAUUCAUCAUCCUUUUUGGCUCACAGAAAGCUUCAAUAAUGUAUACCUCACCCAAGAUGGUUCCAUUGAUUCACAGUGGUGACGAGGAGACAUGAAUUUAAAUAGUCUUGGAGUAUGUACUUUAACCUAUAUUAAGCCACUAUUUUCAGAGCUUUUUGCCAUUAAAAGAAAUAGAAAUUAAAUGGAUGACAUAGAUGACAUAACAUGACUUCUUAUUCAGAUCAAAGGAGCCUUUCACUGGAAUUUACUAUUGAGUAAAGCUAAGAUUGCCUUUUAUUUUGCAGAUGUCUAGGUUUAACUUAAAUUAAUAAAGAUAACAUUUUGCAUUAUAAUACUUAUAGCAGUUAUUUAUUGCUUACUACAAGCUAAGCACCAGGCUAUUAAUUCAUAUACAGUGUCUAACCCUUUCAAUAUUAAAUAUUACAUCCCUUUCACAGAUCAGAGAAUUGAGGCAUCAGAGAUUAAGUAACUUACCAGUGCCACACAGCAAAUACAUAAUAAAACCAAAUAUUCAGCAUGGAUCUGUCUGAUUCCACAGUCCAUCCUUAUAUGUCAAAGGAAUU